Molecule: ribosomal RNA, 512 nt
Filed under: Chlorogomphus nasutus
Lineage: Eukaryota; Metazoa; Arthropoda; Insecta; Odonata; Chlorogomphidae
Description: partial 16S ribosomal RNA
Rfam family: Bacterial large subunit ribosomal RNA
Source: RNAcentral
GUCUUCUUGAUUUUAUAGGAAGUCUGACCUGCCCGGUGAAUAAGUAUUUAACGGCCGCGGUAUUUUGACCGUGCAAAGGUAGCAUAAUCAUUAGUCUUUUAAUAGAGGGCUGGAAUGAAGGGUUUGACGAAAUGCUUACUGUCUCAUUUAAUUUGAAAUUUGAAUUUAACUUUUUAGUUAAAAGGCUAAAUUGUUGUUGGAAGACGAGAAGACCCUAUAGAGCUUUAUAUUUUAAAAUUUAAAGAAUUUUUGUUUAAUUAUUAUUUUUUAAAUGGAGACUUAUUUUGUUGGGGUGACAAAAACAUAUAAUAAACUUUUUUAUUUAGAUAACAUUGAUUUAUGAAUAUUAGAUCCAUUAUUAUUGAUUGAUAGAGAAAGUUACCUUAGGGAUAACAGCGUAAUCUUCCUUCAGAGUUCAAAUUUACAGGAAGGCUUGCGACCUCGAUGUUGGAUUAAGAUAAUAAUUAGGUGUAGCCGCUUAAUUAAUAGGUCUGUUCGACCUUUAAAUUCUU